This 498-nucleotide ribosomal RNA is filed under the name uncultured bacterium. Its description in RNAcentral is "bacterial SSU rRNA". It matches the Rfam family "Bacterial small subunit ribosomal RNA", at positions 30 to 523 of the family's 1533-position model. The record is from RNAcentral.
AUUGAACGCUGGCGGAAUGCUUUACACAUGCAAGUCGAACGGCAGCACGGGGCAACCUGGUGGCGAGUGGCGAACGGGUGAGUAAUACAUCGGAACGUGCCCAAUCGUGGGGGAUAACGUAGCGAAAGUUACGCUAAUACCGCAUACGAUCUACGGAUGAAAGCGGGGGAUCGCAAGACCUCGCGCGAAUGGAGCGGCCGAUGUCAGAUUAGGUAGUUGGUGGGGUAAAGGCUCACCAAGCCAACGAUCUGUAGCUGGUCUGAGAGGACGACCAGCCACACUGGAACUGAGACACGGUCCAGACUCCUACGGGAGGCAGCAGUGGGGAAUUUUGGACAAUGGGCGCAAGCCUGAUCCAGCCAUUCCGCGUGCAGGAUGAAGGCCUCGGUUGUAGACUGCUUUUGUUACGGAACGAAACGGUACUGCCCUAAUACGGCGGGCUAAUGACGGUACCGUAAGAAUAAGCACCGGCUAACUACGUGCCAGCAGCCGCGGUAA